CAGACGGGUGAGUAACACGUGGGAACGUACCCUUCGGUUCGGAAUAACUCAGGGAAACUUGUGCUAAUACCGGAUACGAUCGCGAGAUGAAAGAUUUAUCGCCGAAGGAUCGGCCCGCGUCUGAUUAGCUAGUUGGUGAGGUAAUGGCUCACCAAGGCGACGAUCAGUAGCUGGUCUGAGAGGAUGACCAGCCACAUUGGGACUGAGACACGGCCCAAACUCCUACGGGAGGCAGCAGUGGGGAAUAUUGGACAAUGGGCGCAAGCCUGAUCCAGCCAUGCCGCGUGAGUGAUGAAGGCCUUAGGGUUGUAAAGCUCUUUUACUCGGGAAGAUAGUGACGGUACCGAGAGAAUAAGCCCCGGCUAACUUCGUG
Molecule: ribosomal RNA, 373 nt
Filed under: uncultured bacterium
Lineage: Bacteria
Description: bacterial SSU rRNA
Rfam family: Bacterial small subunit ribosomal RNA
Source: RNAcentral